CUUAUUUGCAAUUUGUUUUCAUACUUUUUGAUUUAAAGUUGUGGCACUUUAUUUCUUCUUUGGAGUUGUAGUGCUCCAUUCAAGAGGCAGGAUGAUGAUUCAUGCAACAUUAAAAUAUCUCAAGAUGAAAAUCAUAAACUGAUUCAUCAAAUAAACAGUAUGAAUAUUACAAAUGUAGAAAUGCAAGAGAAUAUUCAGAUUAUUGAAAUACCAAAGAAUGAAGAAAACAGGAAAACUAGCUUGAAAGAUAGGACUGAACACAUUCAAAAUUUAUAGCCAAGAUUACAGCAGGAACAGAUCAAAACAUCAGGAUUAUUCAAACAUCAAAGGAUGAUGGAAAAGAGAGAGAUGGUACAGAAAUUCAAAUUGAAAAGAUACAGUUUACAACAGAAAAUGAGAUGGAAACAAAUCAAGACAUCAGGAUUGCUGAGACAUUAAAGAAGAAUGAAAACAAGGAAGAUAAUUUAUAAACUUAAACAAUAUAAUCAGAGAGUAUAGAAGCUUACAAUAAAUCAUUAUACUCAAAAUAGAAAUCCCAAUGUUUAUCAAUCAUGCAUUUACAGUUACAAAGGAAGAUAAUGAUAGCAGAACUACCAGACAGUUCUUCAUCCUGCAUCUUGAAUGGAGCAUUGUAACUCUGAAGAGGAGAUGGUAUCACAACUUGAAAUCAAAAAGUAUGAAAAACAAAUUGCUAUUGAAGAAGAUUUUGAUGAUACUAAUAAUGAUCAUAAUUAUGAAUCUACAUUCUGAUUUAGAUACAUUUGAUGCAGUUAAUGACACAAUUAAAGAAAAUACUGAAUCAAAAAGACCAAAAAAUAAACAAAUCUUGGCUGAAGUCAAUAUAGAAAAUGAAUUUCUAAAUUCCAAGAAUGUGUCAAAAACACUUAAGAAAUGAAUUGUGCAGCUGAAUGAAUGGAAAAAAGAAGAAAACCAAACUUUUCGUUAAUGCUGAUAAAAGAGCACAUAAACCAAAUCUCAAGAGUUGUUAGAACAAAAGCAAUGCAUCUACCAUGUUGUGAAAAAUGUAGGCUCCAAUGUUCCACUAAACUUGCACUAGAAAUUGGAGUGCUAUCUUUGAUAGAUACUGGGACUUGCAGGGCCAGUUAUAUAAAAGAAGACUAAUUUGAGCCAUGAGAUCGGAA
This 1142-nucleotide long non-coding RNA is filed under the name Androctonus crassicauda. The record is from RNAcentral. Lineage: Eukaryota; Metazoa; Arthropoda; Arachnida; Scorpiones; Buthidae.